Molecule: ribosomal RNA, 713 nt
Filed under: uncultured Pseudomonadota bacterium
Lineage: Bacteria; Pseudomonadati; Pseudomonadota
Description: bacterial SSU rRNA
Rfam family: Bacterial small subunit ribosomal RNA
Source: RNAcentral
UGCAGUCGAACGAGAAAGGGGUAGCAAUACCCCCGGUACAGUGGCGAACGGGUGAGUAACACGUGGGUAACCUGCCCUCGAGCUCGGAAUAACCCGCCGAAAGGCGGGCUAAUACCGGAUAAAGUUGCUGGUUCUUCGGGACUGGUAACCAAAGAUGGCCAAUGCUUGCAAGCUAUCACUUGAGGAGGGGCCCGCGGCCCAUUAGCUAGUUGGCGGGGUAAUGGCCCACCAAGGCAACGAUGGGUAGCCGGCCUGAGAGGGCGAUCGGCCACAUUGGAACUGAGACACGGUCCAGACUCCUACGGGAGGCAGCAGUGAGGAAUCUUGCGCAAUGGGCGAAAGCCUGACGCAGCAACGCCGCGUGGGUGAUGAAGGCCUUCGGGUCGUAAAGCCCUGUCAGGUGGGAAGAAUCGGGUGGGGGCUAAUACCUCCCGCCCCUGACUGUACCACCAGAGGAAGCCCCGGCUAACUCCGUGCCAGCAGCCGCGGUAAUACGGAGGGGGCCAGCGUUGUUCGGAAUUAUUGGGCGUAAAGGGCGCGUAGGCGGUCGAGUAAGUCUGACGUGAAAUCCCUUGGCUCAACCAAGGAACUGCGUCUUAAACUGCUCGGCUUGAGUCCGGGAGAGGGUAGUGGAAUUCCCAGUGUAGCGGUGAAAUGCGUAGAUAUUGGGAGGAACACCGGUGGCGAAGGCGGCUACCUGGACCGGUACUGAC